Molecule: non-coding RNA, 119 nt
Organism: Lupinus angustifolius (narrow-leaved blue lupine)
Lineage: Eukaryota; Viridiplantae; Streptophyta; Magnoliopsida; Fabales; Fabaceae
Source: Rfam
UGGUGCGAUCCUACCAUCACUAUUGCACCGGAUCCCAUCAGAACUUCGCAAUUAUGCGUGCUUGGGUGAGAGUAGUACUAGGAUGGAUGACCUCGUGGGAAGUCCUCGUGUUGCACCUU